Cucurbita moschata (crookneck pumpkin) is the source of this 409-nucleotide long non-coding RNA. RefSeq lists it as uncharacterized. The record is from RefSeq and is a predicted model, not a curated record. Lineage: Eukaryota; Viridiplantae; Streptophyta; Magnoliopsida; Cucurbitales; Cucurbitaceae. The transcript has 2 exons.
UGGCGUACUGCAACAAAGAUACAUUAUAAGAUAAUUUGAAUCACAAAUGUAUAAGGGAAGACAGGAAAAAGAUUAUAAGAUAAUUUGAAUCACAAAUGUAUAAGGGAAGACAGGAAAAAGGUAAGAGAAUAAAAUGUUGGAGUCCCAUAUUAGCUAAUUAAGUAGAAGAUCAUUGAUAUAUAAGUGAAAGACACUAUCUAGAUUGUGAUACGGAGGUCUUUUGGAGAAACUAAAAGCAAAACUAUGAAAGCUUAUACUCAAAGUGGACAAUAUCUUACCAUUGUGAAGGGCCGUUGUUCCUAAAAAUUCAGUAUAUAGAAAAUAUCAAACGAUAGAGCAUAAACCAGUAGAGGUGCAUUUGAAAAUUACAUGCAAACACAUCAUAAAGAUUGGAAAUGUAAAUAGAGAG